Molecule: unclassified non-coding RNA, 374 nt
Filed under: soil metagenome
Description: partial contains 5.8S ribosomal RNA, internal transcribed spacer 2, and large subunit ribosomal RNA
Rfam family: 5.8S ribosomal RNA (bases 1-120)
Source: RNAcentral
GAUGAAGAACGCAGCGAAAUGCGAUAAGUAAUGUGAAUUGCAGAAUUCAGUGAAUCAUCGAAUCUUUGAACGCACAUUGCGCCCGCCAGUAUUCUGGCGGGCAUGCCUGUUCGAGCGUCAUUUCAACCCUCAAGACCCCUUCGGGGGACUUGGUGUUGGGGACCGGCACAGGGGCCUGCCUGCUUGUCUUGCAGCGCCCUCGCCGCCCCCGAAAUGAAUUGGCGGCCUCGUCGCGGCCUCCCCUGCGUAGUAGCACAACCUCGCAACGGGAACGUGACGGCGGCCACUGCCGUAAAACAACCCCAAUUUUAUUAGAGUUGACCUCGAAUCAGGUAGGAAUACCCGCUGAACUUAAGCAUAUCAAUAAGCGGAGA